This 83-nucleotide transfer RNA is filed under the name Caudoviricetes sp. RNAcentral describes it as "tRNA-Leu". It matches the Rfam family "tRNA". From Rfam's summary of the family: Transfer RNA (tRNA) molecules are approximately 80 nucleotides in length. Their secondary structure includes four short double-helical elements and three loops (D, anti-codon, and T loops). Lineage: Duplodnaviria; Heunggongvirae; Uroviricota; Caudoviricetes. The record is from RNAcentral.
CCCCUUGUGGCGGAACAGGCAGACGCGCUCGGCUCAAACCCGGGUUCCAGUAAGGAGUAUGAGUUCGACUCUCAUCAAGGGGA